AUUGAACGCUGGCGGAAUGCUUUACACAUGCAAGUCGAACUGCAGCACGGGGGCAACCCUGGUGGCGAGUGGCGAACGGGUGAGUAACACAUCGGAACGUGCCCAGUCGUGGGGGAUAACGUAGCGAAAGCUACGCUAAUACCGCAUACGAACUCUGGUUGAAAGCGGGGGACUCGCAAGGGCCUCGCGCGAUUGGAGCGGCCGAUGGCAGAUUAGGUAGUUGGUGGGGAAAGGCCUACCAAGCCGACGAUCUGUAGCUGGUCUGAGAGGACGACCAGCCACACUGGGACUGAGACACGGCCCAGACUCCUACGGGAGGCAGCAGUGGGGAAUUUUGGACAAUGGGCGCAAGCCUGAUCCAGCCAUUCCGCGUGCAGGAUGAAGG
This 385-nucleotide ribosomal RNA is filed under the name uncultured bacterium. Its description in RNAcentral is "bacterial SSU rRNA". It matches the Rfam family "Bacterial small subunit ribosomal RNA", at positions 29 to 414 of the family's 1533-position model. The record is from RNAcentral.